GACGAACGCUGGCGGCGUGCUUAACACAUGCAAGUCGAACGGAAAGGCCCUGCUUUUGUGGGGUGCUCGAGUGGCGAACGGGUGAGUAACACGUGAGUAACCUGCCCUUGACUUUGGGAUAACUUCAGGAAACUGGGGCUAAUACCGGAUAGGAGCUCCUGCUGCAUGGUGGGGGUUGGAAAGUUUCGGCGGUUGGGGAUGGACUCGCGGCUUAUCAGCUUGUUGGUGGGGUAGUGGCUUACCAAGGCUUUGACGGGUAGCCGGCCUGAGAGGGUGACCGGCCACAUUGGGACUGAGAUACGGCCCAGACUCCUACGGGAGGCAACAGUGGGGAAUAUUUCACAAUGGGCGGAAGCCUGAUGCAGCAACGCCGCGUGCGGGAUGACGGCCUUCGGGUUGUAAACCGCUUUCGCCUGUGACGAAGCGUGAGUGACGGUAAUGGGUAAAGAAGCACCGGCUAACUACGUG
Molecule: ribosomal RNA, 468 nt
Filed under: uncultured bacterium
Lineage: Bacteria
Description: partial 16S ribosomal RNA
Rfam family: Bacterial small subunit ribosomal RNA
Source: RNAcentral